Long non-coding RNA from Galeopterus variegatus (Sunda flying lemur), 603 nucleotides. RefSeq lists it as uncharacterized. The transcript has 2 exons. The record is from RefSeq and is a predicted model, not a curated record. NCBI's taxonomy places the organism in Eukaryota, Metazoa, Chordata, Mammalia, Dermoptera, Cynocephalidae.
GAGCUGAAAGUGUCCCUCACUGAUCUCCAGACAUGCAGUGACUACUAUCAAAAUGAAAGCUUGUUGCGUGGGAUUGAGCCCAUUGUCAGUGAAGCCAUGAUCUGCUCCAAGCUCCCCGUGGAACAGAUGGAUCAGUGCAUCGGCAGUAGAGGAGACCCUCUGAUGUGUCUAGUCAAGGAUUUCUGGGUCCUGGCAGGAGUGGUGAGCUGGGGAUCAAACUGCAUCCGAACCAAUGAGCCUGGAGUAUAUACGAACAUCAGUUUCUACAAAUCUUGGAUUGAGAAGUCAGCCAUCUCACUUACUGGGCUUCCUGCUGCUCCCCAUCUGGGCCUCUCUGGGCUCCUUCCUGUGAUGCUUCUGCCUCUGAUCUUCUUGGUGCUGCCCUGACUGGCUAAGGUCAGUAUGGCUGGGGUGAAGUGACAAUUGAGAACAAGACAGAAAGGGGAAAUCCUAGAAGUUAAGGAUUGCAAAGAGAAAUUUUGAAGAGCCAGCAGGAUAGAUGCAGUUCCACUACCUGAUAAGCCUCGUCUGCAUGUCACCUUUCCCCUCAGGUCAGUCUGGAAAGCAAGAUCUCCAGAGUGAAUAAAAUUUGGUUGAUUCUAA